This 379-nucleotide ribosomal RNA is filed under the name uncultured organism. Its description in RNAcentral is "partial 16S ribosomal RNA". It matches the Rfam family "Bacterial small subunit ribosomal RNA", at positions 527 to 896 of the family's 1533-position model. The record is from RNAcentral.
GUAGGGUGCGAGCGUUAUCCGGAAUCAUUGGGCGUAAAGAGCUCGUAGGCGGUUCAGCAAGUCGGCUGUGAAAUUCCGAGGCUCAACCUCGGAACUGCAGUAGAUACUGCUGUGACUCGAGUCCGGUAGAGGAGAAUGGAAUUCCCGGUGUAGCGGUGAAAUGCGCAGAUAUCGGGAGGAACACCAGUAGCGAAGGCGGUUCUCUGGGCCGGCACUGACGCUGAGGAGCGAAAGCGUGGGGGUAGCAAACAGGAUUAGAUACCCUGGUAGUCCACGCCCGUAAACGUUGGAUACUAGGUGUGGGGUUCCGACCAACCGGUCCCCGUGCCGAAGCUAACGCAUUAAGUAUCCCCGCCUGGGGAGUACGGCCGCAAGGCUA